RNAcentral lists this unclassified non-coding RNA (4974 nucleotides) under Thrips palmi. Its description in RNAcentral is "uncharacterized LOC117649379, transcript variant X1". Lineage: Eukaryota; Metazoa; Arthropoda; Insecta; Thysanoptera; Thripidae. The record is from RNAcentral.
CAGGCGGCCGGGCUCCACUCCGAUGACGUCAUCACCUCGCAGCACCCUUCGGCCCUAUUCCACUACGUCUCAGUAUUCGGGCACCACUGCUGCAACGGCGUCAGCCGUUCUCCUGUCUUGGUCAUGCCUUCUGUUACUAGUAUGAAUAAACCUUGCUGACAAUUGUUGAGGCAUAAGGGAAUCAGUCGCCAUUAUUGUCUGAAUAAGCCUGCAAAGCACAAUGGAGGGACUCGUGCACUGAAACACACAAGGUGGAUCCAUCUCUUGGAAUUUCCAGAAAUAUCGGGUUAUUCCCACAUUGAGAAUGAAAAAGUCUUAUUCAGUACCCAAUUUUGGACAAGAUAUACUUUCUGACCCCAAUUUAGGCGAGGAAGUCUUCGUCACCCAAUUUUGGGUGAUCAAGAGAGUAUCAGCUAUCUGGGUUAGGUUAGGGUUUCUAAGAAGGCCCUUUUAUUGAGGCUCUACAGACUGUCAGGAGAUGUUUUCAGCUUUGAGAGGUGCGCGAAUUAUGAUCAGUAUUUCAGACAUUCUUCUGACAUUUUGACAAAAUUUACACAAGUGCUUUAGACACAUUUAGGGCACCGCCUCUCAGCUCUCAUUCCUUGGCCAACCCAAAUUGCCAGAGAAGGUUCAAAAUACAACAAAUCGACGCAGAAUGAUUUGUUCCAAAAUAUUCCACAAUUGUUCCAAUUUGUUCCUUAACGAGGGCGGCUCCAGGCUCGUUAUCGUUUUUCGAUAACGAGCUGGCCAGCUUCAAACCAGUAAAAAUGCACAAAUUGACCUUGGAAAGGUGCAGUUCUUCUUAAAAACGUUUGUUCCAAAAUGUUCCACCAUCGUUUCACGGCCACCGAUAGCACAAAUGCAGUUUCCCAAAAACGAUUGUUUUUUUUUGGGGUUGGCAAACUUCAAAAAUACAAAUCCGCGCGCAAAAAAAGUUGAAAAUGAUGCUAAUUGCCUGAGAAUCGUUUGUUCCGAAAUGUUUCACCGUCGUUUCACGGCCACCGAUAACACAAAUGCGUUAUCCGAAAAAACGUUGUUUGUUUGGGUUGGCGAACUUCCAAAAUACAAAUCCGCGUAAAUAAAGUUUAAAAUGAUGCUAAUCGCCUCAGAAUCGUUUGUUCCGAAAUGUUCCACCGUCGUUUCACGGCCACCGAUAACACAAAUGCGUUUUCCGAAAAACGGUUGUCUUUUUUGGGUUGGCGAACUUCCAAAAUACAAAUCUGCGUAAAAAAAGUUCAAAAGUAUGCUUAUCGCCUGAGAAUCAUUUGUUCCGAAAAGUUCCACUGUCAGUCCACGGCCACUGAUAUCUAAAAUGCAUUUUCAAAAAAACGGUUAGUUUUUUUUUUGUUUUUUUUGGGUUGGCGAACUUUCAAAAUACAAAUCUGCGUAAAAGUGCCUGAGCCUGAUUGCGUGCCUAAUUGCCUGAGAAUCAUUUGUUCCGAAAUGUUCCACCGUCGUUCCACGGCCACCAAUAGCUAAAAUGCAAUUUACGAAAAACUGUUGUUUGUUUGGUAUGGCGAACUUGUCAAGUACAAAUCCGCGUAAAAAGAGUUGAAAACAACGCGGUUCGCCUUAGAAACGUUUGUUGUUCAACUUCUGGGAGGUCCCCCUCUCAGCUCUUGAAAAAGGAUGCGACGAUAAUCACUCUUGUAAAUCUUGUCAAGACGUCAAAAACCUGUCCAAAAACCUAACCAAAAUUUGCGCAAGUAUGAAAGCUGAAAAUUUCUUUUGACAUCCUUUGGAACUUGGCCAUCAAUAUGAGUGUAAGUUUUCAGAACUAAAGCUUUUAGGGGUGCGCGAAUUUCAGAGGGCGAGGAAACCUUCCUCGCCCGAAUUUGGUUGAAAAAGUAUACCUCGCCUAAAAUUGGGUAUUGAUCUCUCAUUCUCAGUGAAAACUGUUUAACGGGUCAAAAUAACAGACAUUUGUGAAAAAACAUUGUUUGUGAGAUGUGCACAAUUUUAAAUGUUUUUCCCGCACUACAAUAAUAAGGCAUGGGGCCAUUUAUUUCAUUCCUCAUAUCGAAAGCACAUUUAAUUUUCUUUUCAAAUGAGCCCUUUUAGACGUCUAAAUCUGGCGCAAUUAGCUAACGUCAACCAUGUGCAACAUGUGGUAUUUUAGCUGAAAAUAGGCAAAAUGGACGUUUAUUUUUGUGUGAGCUUCCCACUUGAGCCACGCUAAGCUGGCAUCAGACUUCUUCGAUCCUCUGCGUCGUGUAGCAGGUAAAGAAGUACAUUGAUACCUUUGACAGGACCUGCAACACGGGGGCAUUUCUUAAUUUGCGCCAAAUUAAAAAUGCAAGAAAAACAAAAUUGUACAACAAAUGUAUCGUCAUAGGGGGUUAUACUUGGGAGACAUUUUAGGGCCAGAAGCAAGAUUCUCGACCCAUGCCAUUGCAUCCCAUUAAUGUUCAAGAUUGGUGACUCUUGAUAAUUUUGUCAGCUUGUCAGAAUCAUGCCUGAAAUCUCGUGCAAAUUCGCGCACUUAUGAAAGAUGAAAACUUAUUCUAUGGCAUUCUGUAGUGUAUGGUGCGAUAUCUCAGCUGCAUUGCACCAUACGUGCUAUACUCAUAGCGUUUGGAAUCUCAGUGCAUGACCUAAAAUUGAAAAUCAUUUAUCCUGGUUUGGAACCUGGAGCCCGCGCACACUUGGGUUUGUAGAGAGCAUAUGGCACGUUCCCUAUUUCUGCGAACGCUGCUCGGAAAGGUUCGCGGCACCCGCUCUGUGUUUCGACAUCAGGCAGUUUGGUCGCUUAAACAAGCAUCUUCCGAGAAACGGCUUGACGGGGCAGUAUGUAUUGGCGCAUCAUGCCAGAUGCCGACGCCAAUAAAUAGCCAACGCCUCUCCGUCCUCUCGGUCAGCGUUCACUCAGUCGACACCACUGCAACAUGGCUCGUGCUCUUUUCCUCGUCCUGGUCCUGGUGGCGACCGCCUACGCCGACCGCUACGCCUUCAACCAGGUGAACGAGAUCGCCUCUCGGGUCAAGGUGUGUCUGAAGCCCGUGGCCAAGCUGGACGCCGGCUUCUACCGACCCGCAGACAACUGCGCCUACAAUGCCAAGCUGAGCGCGAGAGACGGCAAAGCCAAGGAGACCCUCGCCAACUCCGUCCCCAAGUGCCUGGUCGGCUACAAGGUGGACGCUGUCCUUGUGGCGAGCGCCAAGCAGUGCCUCGUCAAGUCCCUCGCCGCCGACCUGAAGCCCGCCCUCGAGAUGGCCGAGUACACUGGUGACGAGCUGUACGAGAUCAGUGGUCGCAUCCAGGACUGCCUGUCCGCCAUCCCCGACACCGCCGCCAUCUCGUCCGACGUCGCCGACGAGGCCUUCUACCAGGCCGAGAACGGCUACCCCAAGGAGUCCCUGCUCGAGUACUCCAUCAUCCCCUACCUCGACAACAAGAACGUCAACGCCCCGGCCGUGGCCGCGGCAGAGCAGUGCAUUGCCGCGUCGCUCGCCAAGCCCCUAGAAUCCUAGGAACGUGCUCAAAACCUUGCGAAGUGUCCUCAACGUACGAUGGGUGCAAAUCUUUUAGUUUGUCAUUCAAAAGAAACGGUUCAACAUUGUCAAAAGAAUUUUCUUCGUAAGCUUGUGUUUGUUCAAAAUACUAUGGUAUCACCAACUGUUUUUGCAAUUAAAGCGUAAAUUAGUUCGAAAGAUUUUUGAGAGCUAAAAUGUUUUAAAUCUGGAGGAGAUGAUCUAGGCAGUAUGGCAGAAAUAAAUUUUUAUCCAAACCGACGUGGCUUAUUUGAUCUCAUUGGCGUACAGGGGGGCUAUUUUAGGGUGACCAUCAAACCCCUAAAAUGACCCAUCUCAGAUUCCAAUUUUUUUUUUGUCUUGGGUGAUGGAGACCGAUACCCCAAAGCACCCAUGCCAAAGGCUUUUCCAAUUUAUAAAGCGGUUUGGAUUCCACAGCCAUUUUAAUUUUUAAGUUUCCGAAAUGUGUUAAUCUGACGUAAAAGUGGUAAUUUUCUUUUUUGAGAGUCCGAUGCUGGUAUCGGCCUAUCGUUUCCUUUCAGACGAGUCAAAAUCAAAAUUUUAGGGGAUUUCAGAUCCUUUUGCUACAAAGUCAGGUUUGCAUAGUAUACCUUAUUUAUUAUUUGGUAUCUGUAUUUGCAGUUAUGGCUUCUUCUACUUUCAAUUUGGCAUGGAAAGAAGGUCUGAAGCCGAGGAAACCUACUGGUUUGCUCCGAGGGAAGGAGAAUAAGAUUGACAAGCUUAUUAAGGAUCUGUCAUUGUACAAAGAUAAAUACGGCAAUAAUGUGUAUUAGUUGAUUGCCAUUUAUACUGACUUCAAAAUUAAGUUUUAUACAUAUCUGCCAAAACAAUACGACAAUAAGGAUGAUGCCUAUGUUGAUAGGCUUAAUACUGAAAUACAAGAAGGAAAUAACAUCAGGAUAAUUUUUUAUGGAUGUAUUGGAAGUUCCAAUGAACUCUACAUCCACGACCAUGAUGAACCUCUUGACCAGAAAAGUUGGAACUGAUUCGUUUAAUUGAAAGGUCGGAACGAGGAUGGGGCACUAACGGGAAAAGAAGUGGCAGUGAUGUCGGCACCAGUGGUGAUGAAGAUGACAGUGUUAUGAAGAAAUCUAAAUUGGAAUGAAUGUUGGAUUGUAGUUAUGUUUUGGUUCAAAGUAUGAGUUUUGCAAAAAUUAGAUUCAUUUUUUUUUUGUUUCUUGGUACGUAAGUGACAUACUGUUUUGUUAAAUUUUGGGGUGUGUCAUUGGGUUGAAUAAACAAUGAGAAAUAUGUUACCGUUUCAUUGUUAAACCUUUAUUCCUAAUUAGAUUGUGUUACUAAAAUUCAUAACUUAAAAAAUAAUUUUUGACUGAUUGCACUAAAUUCAAAAUUGGUAGAUAAUUUUAUGAAAUAAAUGUUUCUGGAAAUGGUUCACAUCUUCUCAAUUUUCAAGCCGUCACACUGACACUUAAAGAAUCGGAACUAAUAGCGGGCGAAGCCCUCGAAUCGGCCCGAUUUAGCC